RNAcentral lists this ribosomal RNA (497 nucleotides) under uncultured bacterium. RNAcentral's name for it is "partial 16S ribosomal RNA". It matches the Rfam family "Bacterial small subunit ribosomal RNA", at positions 28 to 507 of the family's 1533-position model. The record is from RNAcentral.
GACGAACGCUGGCGGCGUGCCUAAUACAUGCAAGUUGAGCGAUGAAGAUUGGUGCUUGCACCAAUUUGAAGAGCAGCGAACGGGUGAGUAACGCGUGGGGAAUCUGCCUUUGAGCGGGGGACAACAUUUGGAAACGAAUGCUAAUACCGCAUAACAACUUUAAACAUAAGUUUUAAGUUUGAAAGAUGCAAUUGCAUCACUCAAAGAUGAUCCCGCGUUGUAUUAGCUAGUUGGUGAGGUAAAGGCUCACCAAGGCGAUGAUACAUAGCCGACCUGAGAGGGUGAUCGGCCGCAUUGGGACUGAGACACGGCCCAAACUCCUACGGGAGGCAGCAGUAGGGAAUCUUCGGCAAUGGGCGAGAGUCUGACCGAGCAACGCCGCGUGAGUGAAGAAGGUUUUCGGAUCGUAAAACUCUGUUGGUGGGGAAGAACGUUGGUGAGAGUGGAAAGCUCAUCAAGUGACGGUAACUACCCAGAAAGGGACGGCUAACUACGUG